RNAcentral lists this ribosomal RNA (449 nucleotides) under uncultured bacterium. RNAcentral describes it as "bacterial SSU rRNA". It matches the Rfam family "Bacterial small subunit ribosomal RNA", at positions 330 to 794 of the family's 1533-position model. The record is from RNAcentral.
CCCAGACUCCUACGGGAGGCAGCAGUGGGGAAUAUUGCACAAUGGGGGAAACCCUGAUGCAGCGACGCCGCGUGAGUGAGGAAGUAUUUCGGUAUGUAAAGCUCUAUCAGCAGGGAAGAAAAAAUGACGGUACCUGACUAAGAAGCACCGGCUAAAUACGUGCCAGCAGCCGCGGUAAUACGUAUGGUGCAAGCGUUAUCCGGAUUUACUGGGUGUAAAGGGAGCGCAGGCGGUACGGCAAGUCUGAUGUGAAAGCCCGGGGCUCAACCCCGGUACUGCAUUGGAAACUACCGGACUGGAGUGUCGGAGGGGUAAGUGGAAUUCCUAGUGUAGCGGUGAAAUGCGUAGAUAUUAGGAGGAACACCAGUGGCGAAGGCGGCUUACUGGACGAUCACUGACGCUGAGGCUCGAAAGCGUGGGGAGCAAACAGGAUUAGAUACCCCAGUAUA